This is a non-coding RNA of Triticum aestivum (bread wheat), 115 nucleotides long. Lineage: Eukaryota; Viridiplantae; Streptophyta; Magnoliopsida; Poales; Poaceae. The record is from Rfam.
UAUAUACUCCCUCCGUUCCGAAUUAUUUGUCGCAAUUAUGGAUGUAUCUAGAUGUAUUUUAGUUCUAGAUACAUCCAUUUCUGCGACGUAUAAUUUGGAACGGAGGGAGUAAUAC